RNAcentral lists this ribosomal RNA (497 nucleotides) under uncultured bacterium. RNAcentral's name for it is "partial 16S ribosomal RNA". It matches the Rfam family "Bacterial small subunit ribosomal RNA", at positions 28 to 507 of the family's 1533-position model. The record is from RNAcentral.
GAUGAACGCUGGCGGCGUGCCUAAUACAUGCAAGUCGAGCGAACAGACGAGGAGCUUGCUCCUCUGACGUUAGCGGCGGACGGGUGAGUAACACGUGGAUAACCUACCUAUAAGACUGGGAUAACUUCGGGAAACCGGAGCUAAUACCGGAUAAUAUAUUGAACCGCAUGGUUCAAUAGUGAAAGACGGUUUUGCUGUCACUUAUAGAUGGAUCCGCGCCGCAUUAGCUAGUUGGUAAGGUAACGGCUUACCAAGGCAACGAUGCGUAGCCGACCUGGGAGGGUGAUCGGCCACCCUGGAACUGGGCCACGGUCCGGACUCCUACGGGAGGCGGCAGUAGGGAAUCUUCCGCAAUGGGGGAAGUCCUGACGGGGCAACGCCGCGUGGGUGAUGAAGGUCUUCGGAUCGUAAAACUCUGUUAUUAGGGAGGAACAAAUGUGUAAGUGACUGUGCACGUCUUGACGGUACCUAAUCAGAAAGCCACGGCUAACUACGUG